AACGAGUUGUUUAAUUGUGUUAGGUUAGAGUUGAGCUGGUUAAUCUAAUUAAUAUGUGCUUACUCUAAUCGAAACAAGUCCACUCAUUACUUAACCACUUGUGAACUUAUUCAUUACAAAACAUUAUUAUUUGUUAUUGGAAACGUUUUGAUUAUUAAAAAGUUAUAAUA
This 170-nucleotide unclassified non-coding RNA is filed under the name soil metagenome. RNAcentral's name for it is "partial internal transcribed spacer 1". The record is from RNAcentral.